AAAAAAAAAAAAAAAGAGGGUGAAAAAAAAAAUAAAGAAGAAGAAGCAGAAGAAGCUGCUUCUUUUUCUUCUUUUGCACUCAGCAACAAACAUUUUUCUGAACUUUUACCAUAUAUUAUGAUCUUGUUUUCUCUAGGAGCUGAAGUUGGAAGAUUUUAGGUAUCAGUUUUGAGUUAGAAUGUCAUGUUCUGAUUCAACCUCUACAUUUGAAUAACCUUCUCUGAGAGUCUAGACAUAUUCUAAGUUUGUAUUAUCACUAUUUGUGAAAAUAGUGAUGGAAUUAUCUGAAUGUAGUUUUUGAGGUGAGCCUAGACUUAAUUUACAUAAUGAAGUUCUAUGAUUAUGUUAAUACAGCCUGCACUUAGUUGUGGAGUUAAAUUGAGAUAAUCUUCACUCAGUUAUGGUCCUGCAAAUUAAAGGCAUCAAAAGCGUACUUCUUGUUGUGUUUCUUUGUUCUCUGAUGUUGUUGUCAUUUUUUCCUCGAUUUAUGGUGAGUGGUGACCAUUGUGCUGUUUGCUGCCCAGAAGGCUUGUGCCCUUUGAUUAAAGAAACAAGUCCUUUGUUCC
Molecule: unclassified non-coding RNA, 566 nt
Filed under: Hevea brasiliensis (rubber tree)
Lineage: Eukaryota; Viridiplantae; Streptophyta; Magnoliopsida; Malpighiales; Euphorbiaceae
Source: RNAcentral